GUUCACCAGAUUCAUCAAGUGCAUUUAAUUCACCUCAUGGGUCCUCCAUCUUUUCAAACUGUAGCCGAAGGCCCAUGUCUACCCCGCAUGGCAUCCCUCAGUCAGAGAAAGGCCUGGGCGGACAGGGGAGGAUGUUUGGAUUGUAAGAAAUGGAAAUAGAAGCAAAGGAGAAGCAGGCCUCCAUGGCUUCAUCACUACCAGAGAAAUGGAUGCUCCUCCAGUGGGUGCCAAGGAGACCGAGCAAGGUCAAUCGCAUGGAAACUAUAUGACAAUAGAUUGUUAUAUGGUCACAAAUACGCCCCCCUUACCACUCCCUUGUGAUGUUGCAGGUAUCCCAUUAAGAGGAGAGCCAAGGGUCCCCAGCAGGCAGCCAAGUCAACUACCAGACAUGAAAGAGAGCUCUUCUCCAUCAUCCAGUCACCCCCACCUCUAACCUGAGUAUAGAUGCGAGGGAGUGACUGGCAGCAGAAUGAUGGAGCCAGCAAAGAGCAGAAGAUUCCCAACCCACCCAUAGAACUGUGAGCUAAACAAAGGCUGUUGC
Long non-coding RNA from Talpa occidentalis (Iberian mole), 541 nucleotides. RefSeq lists it as uncharacterized. The transcript has 3 exons. The record is from RefSeq and is a predicted model, not a curated record. Lineage: Eukaryota; Metazoa; Chordata; Mammalia; Eulipotyphla; Talpidae.